RNAcentral lists this ribosomal RNA (157 nucleotides) under Orbilia rectispora. RNAcentral describes it as "5.8S ribosomal RNA". It matches the Rfam family "5.8S ribosomal RNA". From Rfam's summary of the family: 5.8S ribosomal RNA (5.8S rRNA) is a component of the large subunit of the eukaryotic ribosome. Lineage: Eukaryota; Fungi; Ascomycota; Orbiliomycetes; Orbiliales; Orbiliaceae. The record is from RNAcentral.
AAACUUUCAACAACGGAUCUCUUGGUUCUCGCAUCGAUGAAGAACGCAGCGAAACGCGAUAGUUAAUGUGAAUUGCAGAAUUCAGUGAAUCAUCGAGUCUUUGAACGCACAUUGCACCUUUUGGUAUUCCGAAAGGUAUGUCUGUUUGAGCGUCAUU